CGCGGUGAGAGGCGAAAAACGCCGUUUUUUGGAGUUACAAAACGUCGUGUAACUCAAAAACUAGGAGGGCUAGCAGCAUAAUUCUUGUACUGGGUGAAUCAGCGGACUUUGGUGUACUUUGACUGCGAUUUUCAGUGCUCUAUGUACCUCCGUCGCGGAGAUAUGACGAGAGAAGAAACGGCUUCAUUUUCGGAGUUUGUAAACUAAGACGAGGACAGAUUUCCACCCCUCAAACAAACGUAAUUCAUUGCUCAACGAAACGGUCAGCAUCCUGACAGCCCGAUGGACGAAGCUGUCUCUCAGUCUGUGUGUUCUGGCCAGGAGGCUCUUCAGUAUCCUUCCUGAUGGCAGCAAACUGAAGACGCUGUUGAAGGGAUGAGAGGAGUCACCUGUAAUGGAGAGGACCUUCCAGAUUCCCCGGACCCGUCCCCGUGUUUCCCCGCGUGGAGUGUGGAAGGAGUGACUGGUCGCUAACGGAGAAGAGAGAGGUUGAACUGAGCGCGUGUAUGAUUUCCCCGUUUUCCCUGGAGCCCUGGACCCCUGCCCCUCACGUCUUGUAUAUAGCACUAACCCCGCACUGUCUGUACACACACUUGGUGAAGAUCUGUAAAUAAACUGUCUCUGUUUAAACGCUACUCAGGAGUCCUGCGAGUGGAUCCUCUAAGCAACCCGUGACACCUGGUCUCUGUGACAUCAUCGAUGCAUUUUGGGAUGUUGGCAAUAACAGUUUCUGUAUAUUCCUGAAAGUCUGUGGUGUUGUCGUGUGUGGCAGCCUGUGGUGGAAAAGCAGUCUUGCAGUGCCUCUGAGGACCCUUCUAGCCUCACCUGUACCUGCUUACGAACUGGUUUGGUGACUUUGACCAGGGGCCUGUGGGAACCCAUGGCACACCUAGGUUUCUGCCUGUAGUACUGACCCUUAUGCAAAAUAGGU
Oreochromis aureus is the source of this 931-nucleotide long non-coding RNA. NCBI's taxonomy places the organism in Eukaryota, Metazoa, Chordata, Actinopteri, Cichliformes, Cichlidae. The record is from Ensembl.